CACAUGACUCUCGGCAACGGAUAUCUCGGCUCUCGCAUCGAUGAAGAACGUAGCAAAAUGCGAUACCUGGUGUGAAUUGCAGAAUCCCGUGAACCAUCGAGUUUUUGAACGCAAGUUGCGCCCGAGGCCAUCUGGCUGAGGGCACGUCUGCCUGGGCGUCACGC
RNAcentral lists this ribosomal RNA (164 nucleotides) under Eragrostis reptans. RNAcentral describes it as "5.8S ribosomal RNA". It matches the Rfam family "5.8S ribosomal RNA". From Rfam's summary of the family: 5.8S ribosomal RNA (5.8S rRNA) is a component of the large subunit of the eukaryotic ribosome. It is transcribed by RNA polymerase I as part of the 45S precursor that also contains 18S and 28S rRNA. Functionally, it is thought that 5.8S rRNA may be involved in ribosome translocation. The record is from RNAcentral. Lineage: Eukaryota; Viridiplantae; Streptophyta; Magnoliopsida; Poales; Poaceae.